This is a long non-coding RNA of Maniola jurtina (meadow brown), 85 nucleotides long. RefSeq lists it as uncharacterized. Lineage: Eukaryota; Metazoa; Arthropoda; Insecta; Lepidoptera; Nymphalidae. The transcript has 3 exons. The record is from RefSeq and is a predicted model, not a curated record.
AGAUAUUUCAAUCCACGAAGACGCGCCCCACUAUUUAUCGCGAGGGGAAACCGCGGGGUGCGGGGAGUUCAGUUAUACAAAGCAC